RNAcentral lists this transfer RNA (72 nucleotides) under Camelus bactrianus (Bactrian camel). It matches the Rfam family "tRNA". From Rfam's summary of the family: Transfer RNA (tRNA) molecules are approximately 80 nucleotides in length. Their secondary structure includes four short double-helical elements and three loops (D, anti-codon, and T loops). Further hydrogen bonds mediate the characteristic L-shaped molecular structure. tRNAs have two regions of fundamental functional importance: the anti-codon, which is responsible for specific mRNA codon recognition, and the 3' end, to which the tRNAs corresponding amino acid is attached (by aminoacyl-tRNA synthetases). tRNAs cope with the degeneracy of the genetic code in two manners: having more than one tRNA (with a specific anti-codon) for a particular amino acid; and 'wobble' base-pairing, i.e. permitting non-standard base-pairing at the 3rd anti-codon position. Lineage: Eukaryota; Metazoa; Chordata; Mammalia; Artiodactyla; Camelidae. The record is from Rfam by way of RNAcentral. RNAcentral also lists the same sequence under 2 other names.
GAGGGUAGAGCUCAGUGGUAGAGCAUAUGCUUAGCAUGCAUGAGGUCCUGGGUUCAAUUCCCAAUACCUCCA